This 39-nucleotide transfer RNA is filed under the name Trachypithecus francoisi (Francois's langur). RNAcentral's name for it is "partial tRNA-Pro". The record is from RNAcentral. Lineage: Eukaryota; Metazoa; Chordata; Mammalia; Primates; Cercopithecidae.
CAAUACCCAAAACUGGCAUUCUAUUUAAACUACUUUCUG